This 253-nucleotide ribosomal RNA is filed under the name uncultured bacterium. RNAcentral's name for it is "partial 16S ribosomal RNA". It matches the Rfam family "Bacterial small subunit ribosomal RNA", at positions 524 to 776 of the family's 1533-position model. The record is from RNAcentral.
UACAGAGGUCUCAAGCGUUGUUCGGAUUCAUUGGGCGUAAAGGGUGCGUAGGUGGCGCUGUAAGUCGGGUGUGAAAUUUCGGAGCUUAACUCCGAAACUGCAUUCGAUACUGCGGUGCUUGAGGACUGGAGCGGAGACUGGAAUUCAUGGUGUAGCAGUGAAAUGCGUAGAGAUCAUGAGGAAGACCAGUGGCGAAGGCGGGUCUCUGGACAGUUCCUGACACUGAGGCACGAAGGCCAGGGGAGCAAACGGG